RNAcentral lists this ribosomal RNA (253 nucleotides) under uncultured bacterium. RNAcentral's name for it is "partial 16S ribosomal RNA". It matches the Rfam family "Bacterial small subunit ribosomal RNA", at positions 524 to 776 of the family's 1533-position model. The record is from RNAcentral.
UACGGAGGGGGUUAGCGUUGUUCGGAAUUACUGGGCGUAAAGCGCGCGUAGGCGGAUUAGAAAGUUGGGGGUGAAAUCCCGGGGCUCAACCUCGGAACUGCCUCCAAAACUGCUAGUCUAGAGUUCGAGAGAGGUGAGUGGAAUUCCGAGCGUAGAGGUGAAAUUCGUAGAUAUUCGGAGGAACACCAGUGGCGAAGGCGGCUCACUGGCUCGAUACUGACGCUGAGGUGCGAAGGUGUGGGGAGCAAACAGC